Molecule: ribosomal RNA, 479 nt
Filed under: bacterium
Lineage: Bacteria
Description: bacterial SSU rRNA
Rfam family: Bacterial small subunit ribosomal RNA
Source: RNAcentral
GCAACCUGCCUAUAAGACUGGGAUAACUUCGGGAAACCGGAGCUAAUACCGGAUACGUUCUUUUCUCGCAUGAGAGAAGAUGGAAAGACGGUUUACGCUGUCACUUAUAGAUGGGCCCGCGGCGCAUUAGCUAGUUGGUGAGGUAAUGGCUCACCAAGGCGACGAUGCGUAGCCGACCUGAGAGGGUGAUCGGCCACACUGGGACUGAGACACGGCCCAGACUCCUACGGGAGGCAGCAGUAGGGAAUCUUCCGCAAUGGACGAAAGUCUGACGGAGCAACGCCGCGUGAACGAAGAAGGCCUUCGGGUCGUAAAGUUCUGUUGUUAGGGAAGAACAAGUACCAGAGUAACUGCUGGUACCUUGACGGUACCUAACCAGAAAGCCACGGCUAACUACGUGCCAGCAGCCGCGGUAAUACGUAGGUGGCAAGCGUUGUCCGGAAUUAUUGGGCGUAAAGCGCGCGCAGGUGGUUCCUUAA